RNA transcript from Ricinus communis (castor bean), 3639 nucleotides. RefSeq lists it as uncharacterized. The record is from RefSeq and is a predicted model, not a curated record. NCBI's taxonomy places the organism in Eukaryota, Viridiplantae, Streptophyta, Magnoliopsida, Malpighiales, Euphorbiaceae. The transcript is spliced from 3 exons.
GCGCGUGUGAUAUACAGAUGGCCACAUGUAUAGAAGGGCCACUUAAUACUCCUUAUGCGGCAAAAAAGGUACAGUUACACAAUAACUAUACACAAUAAUUGAAUCCUUGAAGAUUCAAUUGAAGGUGAAGCUUGAAUUUGUCCAAAAUAAUGAGUUUUCUUGCAAUCUCUGUAAACCACACACUACAGACCACCACCUUAUUCAUUUUCUACAAUGGAUUAAGGAUAUAUAACCUAAACCUUAAAGAGAAAAUGUCAUUAUUAUUUAAAUCAAGAAAAACCUAAAAAGCCUAAAGAUUUCUGUAUGAAUAGCGAUAUUGAGAUAAAGAGCAAAUGAAGAGUUAAUGAAAAAGUGGUUUCUCCUUUUUUGAAGCAUCUUGGUUAAGAAAGAAUUGAACGAGAAAGGCAGGGUUAAAAUGGCUAACAAAUUAGUGACACUGCAUUGGCAUUAUGGGGGGUAUUUGGUUGAUAAUACAUAUGUGAAUGGGAAAGUGAAGGAAUUUGAUGAUAUGGACACUGACAGGCUAUCAAUUCCAGAAUUGAUGGGUUAUGUUAAAGAAGAUUUUGUUUAUAUAAUUGAGCAACCAGUUUAUUACAAGGCUGAAAAUAGUAACAGCUUUAUGCCUUGUAUGAGUGAUAAGUUUAUUGUUGAUCUGACAUUAAGGUUUAGUGAUGUGGAGGUAGUAAAUAUGUAUAUUGCACAAGUCGACCCCCUAUUUGAUAUUGACGGGCCUGUACCUAGGGCAAACUUAUAUGGGAAUAUAAAUAGAGAAGAAAGUGAGGCUGUUUUUAAGGGUGUAGAGGCACACUCGAGAAAGAAUGAAAAAAAGACUAGAUGUAGAAUGUGAAUUUCAGGGUGAGAAUGUAGAUCUGGUUGGAAUUGAGAAUGAAGAAGAUAAUGCAAGCUUUGAAGAAGACAUAAACACAGAGGGUGAAGCACUUGAGGAGGAUGAGAAUAAUGAAGCAAACAGAAAUGGAUACAGUGAUGCGAAUGAAGAAGUCAUAGCUGCAAGGGAAGAGCUAAUAUUUUAUAGGAGGAGGCCCAAAAUAAGUCAAAUUCAACCUAUAUAAACUAUUGAGAAAGGUGUGGCUGGUGUUGAUUUAAGUUAAAAUGACUUAAAUAGAAGUAGAAGAUGUUAUGAUGGAAUAAUAGGAGAUGAUGAGAAGUUUUUUUACAGUUCAAAUUAAAAUAGUGUUGAGAGUUGUAAUGAGGAUGAGGAUGAUGAAUUGCCUCAUAGAAUAGAAAGCAAGAAGCUAGCAGCAUCCAAGUUAUGAAAUACCAUUACGGGAAAUUGGAAUGGUAUUUGAGAGUGCAAAUCAGUUUAGAGAGGCUAUUGCUAAGUAUGUAGUUGUUAAAAGGGUGUAACUAAGGCUGAGGCCAAAUGAAUCAUAUAGAAUAAGGGUGAAAUGCAAGGAACAGGCUGCAAUUGGCUAUUAUUUGAGAGCAUUAAAGGAAACAAUGAUAAUUUUUUUAUGGUAAAGAUAUAUCAUUCCGAUUUAUAAAUGCUAUAUGAAAAACAACAACAAAUUGUAUACAUCUAAGUUUGUAGCUAAUUAUUUCAAAGAUAAAAUUAUUUAUCAAUCUAGUAUAAAGUUAUGAGAAAUCCAAGCUCUUUGUAGAGAGCAGUUAAAGGUGUUUGUUGGAAAGAACUAUUUGUAGGAAGACAAAAUUAAAGGUGAUGAAUCAAUUUAUGGGAGACUAUAGAAUGGAAUACCGUAAAUUACAGUGGUAUGCCAAUGAAAUUAAUGAGUCUAAUCCUAGGAGUACAUGCUUUGUGUGCACUGAUUCAACUAGUGAGCCAGGAAAGGUGUUGUUUGACAAGUUUUAUAUUUGCUUAGCAAUUAUGAAAUAUGGGUUGCUUCAAGGUUAUAGAAAAGUCAUUGGCUUAGAUGGAUGCUUUCUUAAAGGCAUCUAUCUGUCAAGGAUAAGAUCCUUUAUGCUGUGGCAGAGAUGCAAAUGACUAAAUGUACCCUCUCACAUGAGCAAUUGUGAAGGUGGAAUGCAAGGUCAUAUAGACAUGGUAUUGAAGAAAGAUCUACAACUUGGUGAAGAGGAAGGGAUAAUGCUUAUGACUAUUAUGUAGAAGGGUUUGAUUCCUGCCAUUCAACAAAAGCUACCGCUUGUGGAGCAUUGAAUGUGUUCUAGGGGCAUAUGUAGCAAUUGGGCAAAAAAUUGGAGAGGUAAGGAAAGAAGGAAAAAAUUUUAGGCAUGUGCAAAGGUAAGUUUUGAAAGACAAUUUAAAGAUAAUUUGAAUGAAUUAAGCAAGUAGGAAAGGGGCAUUGUUAAGGAUGCUUUGUGUUAUAAUAAAAAAAAUUAGGUUAGAGUGUAUUUUGAGUUUGAAACUAAAAGUGAUGCAGUUGAAAAUAACAUGUGUGAGACUUGAAAUGCAUGGAUAUUGCAAGCUAGGUAUAAGUCAAUCAUUACUAUGCUAAAAGAGAUUAGGACUAAAAUAAUAACAAGAGUGAUAGUAAUGGGAGGUUUUGUAAAUACUUGGAUAUGUAACAUUACUCCAAUAACAAUGGUUACUUUAGAAAAAAAAUAAGGAAGAAGCAAUGAAAUACCAAAUUCUACAAAUGGUGAUGUUGGAUAUGAGGUGAAAUAUGGGGAUUAUGGUCAUACGGUGGACUUAAGGAAGUAAACUUGUACUUGUCUAUUUUGGCAGUUGAAAAAGAUAUCUUGCCCACAUGCUAUUCGUUCUAUGAAUCAUAGGAAGUUGAAUCUUGAAAACUUUGUAAGUGGUACCAUAAAGAAACAAAUUUAAAAAUCUUUCCUAUUUCAUUCAGUAUGUUCCUGGAAUUAUAUUGUGGAAGAAAAAUGAAUACCCUAUCAUUGAGCCUGAAGAGUAUGACGGGUAGGCCUAAAAGAAAUCGAAGAAAAUUACGAGAUGAAUCUAAAAUAGUUGGAAAGUUUUUAAGAAGAUGAGCAAAGAUGACUUGCACAAUAUAUAAACAACAAGGUCAUAACAAAAAGGGGUGUCCUUCCAAGAUUUCUACUCAAGUAAUGCUUUUUAUAUUGAGUUUUUUAAUUCUUUAUAAAAUGUUAAAUAUUUAAACGAUUAGUGAUUUCAAUCGUAAUUAUUUUUAAGGAAUCUAUGGUAACUACUGGAGUCACAAGUAUAGGCCUUGCAACUACUAAAACAUCAAGCCAGGUAAUGGAUUUAGUGCUAGUUACUUAGUUAUGUUAUACAUUUCUAAGACUGUAUUAUUUGUUCUAAUAGAAUAUGGACAGAUUUUGUGAAAGUUAUAUUUAAAAGGGUAGAGAUUGUGACAAUUCUGUGGCAAGAGGUAGAGGUGGUCCAAUUCUAUUGCAAUUAGUAGAGGCAGUACCAAUUCUGUUGCAAGAGGUAGAACUUCUAUUAAGAGGGGUAGAGGAGUUACAAACUUGGGUGGAAGUGAAGUAAUCUAUGCAAGCACCUAAGGUAGCAAAAGAAUUAAUACCCAACAGUAUCUUACUUCUCAGAAAAAAAAGUAAAAUUUAGUGGUUAUGGUGUUUACGUUAAUGGACACACAUGAGUUACUAUUGAAGAUGUAAGUUAUGUUAUUUACAAUGCAGGUUGCUAGUUUUUCAAGAUUUUGGAUGAUGUUAACUAGAAACUGUAACUAUCAUUUUGCUAUAAAUGGAAAUGGGAUAAUUAUCUUA